Molecule: non-coding RNA, 29 nt
Filed under: Mus musculus (house mouse)
Lineage: Eukaryota; Metazoa; Chordata; Mammalia; Rodentia; Muridae
Also listed under: 1 other name
Source: RNAcentral
UGAGUUCAAAUCCUGUACAAGCAAAGCUC